CCUUUCUCGAUACUCGUCACGUUUUUCUUUUUUCUUCAGGUUCUUCUCAAAUCUCUCUCUCUCUUUGCGAUCGAUAUGGCAAAUGGAUCCGAAACGCGUGUUACUUGUCAAGAUAUUCAGCUGGUGCAAAAUCUCAUAGAACGAUGCCUACAACUGUAUAUGAGCCCGAAAGAAGUGAUGAGCACACUAAUAAAUGAAGCAAAAAUAGAGCCUGAGUUCAUUGAACUAGUUUGGAAAAGGCUUAAAGAACAAAAUGUAGAGUUCUUUCAAGCUUAUUAUACAAGAUUGGUGUUGAAGCAGCAAAUUGAACAAUUCAACACAUUGCUGGAUAAACAAAAGCAAUUAAUGGAAUCAGAACUAACUAAAGUUGCAUCACCACCUACCUCUAAUGGAUUACAUUAUCAUGCAACAUCGUCACUACCCAAUUGCAAUGGAUCACGUAUCCCUGCUAUAACUGAGAAUCGAGCAUGGUAUGGCGCUGUGCAACAUCAUGUGCAAUCCAAUUUAUCUAAUGUGUUUAAUAACGGCGGGUCAUCAUUUGGUUCAAGUAUGCUUGCGGUGGUUGAUAUGUUUGCUAAUAGACAUCUUAUGAGCAUGCCCUAUACUUGGAACUCAAACAUGGGUCUGCAACAAGGAAUCAAUGGGGGGAUGACCAAAUCGGAACCUGAAUAUUCAAGUUGUUCUUCCAACAUGUUUGGUGCUAAUGGAAAUGCCCUGCAGGCCAGCUCAACUGUUAGUAAUGCUUCAGCUACGAUGUUGACUAAUGCUAAAUCCAACUUACAUUCUGUGAAUGACAUAGUCAUGGAUCUUCCAAACAUUUCUUCAAAUGGAUUUUUGGGACAUAUGUCUAAUGGAAAUGUCUUGGAGGCUAGCCCAACUGUCAGUGAAACUUCAACUACGCUAUUCAGUAAUGCCGAAUGUAACUCCCAUUCUGUGAAUGAGGCACUCCUGGAUCUUCCAGACACUCCUUCAAAUGGAAUUUCAGGACAGAUGUCAAGAAAAUUUAGUUUUCCGGAUGUGGCUGCUCUUCUUCCUCAAUGGUCUGAUAUACUGGAGGGCUAUACUGGGCCAGCCUUCCUAGAUUUUGAUAACAAUAACAAGGUAAGAAACUAUUUGAUUCCCCCAUAAAAUUUUGCAGUAAACUAUUUGAUUCCCACUAUUCCGACUCUACUACUGUAUCGUUCUUACAGUAAACAAUUACAUGUUGGACUCCUCCAUAUCUGAAGGCUUGCGUUAUGAAAACUUAAUGGAGAGUUGGUACUAUUUGAUCAUCAGUAACUUAGGAUGAACAAAGUGCCUAGAAAAGUGUUGUAAAUAAAAACCAUAACUCAGAUGAACACAUGUUUUGCUACUUUGAAAGUUCGCUCACCUCCUACAGUGACAAGAAAUGCAAUUUAGAACUCUUCCGAAGAAUGGUGCAGAUAAUUAGGGAAUAUUUUUUUCUCACAUUUUUGGCAAUUUGGUACUUUGCUUUGUAGGAUGAUUUUAUUCUCCAUCGUAUUGAUUUAUUGGAGCUUUUUUUUUUGUAACAGUAUUGAUUUAAUUUGAUUUUCAUGACAGACAGCUUAAAAUCUAGUUUUUAGUAUUAGUGGAUAGCAGUAUAAUUGUUUGACUCCCUAGAGUCCAAGGAAACAUUUUCUUAUGCCAAUUUUAUUGCAAAUA
Non-coding RNA from Cicer arietinum (chickpea), 1662 nucleotides. Lineage: Eukaryota; Viridiplantae; Streptophyta; Magnoliopsida; Fabales; Fabaceae. The record is from RefSeq and is a predicted model, not a curated record.